GACGAACGCUGGCGGCGCGCCUAACACAUGCAGGUCGAACGAGCGAGCGAGAGCUUGCUUUCUCAAGCGAGUGGCGAACGGGUGAGUAACGCGUGAGGAACCUGCCUCAAAGAGGGGGACAACAGUUGGAAACGACUGCUAAUACCGCAUAAGCCCACGACCCGGCAUCGGGUAGAGGGAAAAGGAGCAAUCCGCUUUGAGAUGGCCUCGCGUCCGAUUAGCUAGUUGGUGAGGUAACGGCCCACCAAGGCGACGAUCGGUAGCCGGACUGAGAGGUUGAACGGCCACAGUGGGACUGAGACACGGCCCAGACUCCUACGGGAGGCAGCAGUGGGGAAUAUUGCACAAUGGGGGAAACCCUGAUGCAGCGACGCCGCGUGGAGGAAGAAGGUCUUCGGAUUGUAAACUCCUGUUGUUGAGGAAGAUAAUGACGGUACUCAACAAGGAAGUGACGGCUAACUACGUG
Molecule: ribosomal RNA, 466 nt
Filed under: uncultured bacterium
Lineage: Bacteria
Description: partial 16S ribosomal RNA
Rfam family: Bacterial small subunit ribosomal RNA
Source: RNAcentral